GCACCCGUAGCUCAGCAGGAUAGAGCGCCGGUUUCCUAAACCGUAGGUCAUGAGUUCGAAUCUCGUCGGGUGCG
RNAcentral lists this transfer RNA (74 nucleotides) under Asticcacaulis benevestitus DSM 16100 = ATCC BAA-896. It matches the Rfam family "tRNA". Rfam says of the family: Transfer RNA (tRNA) molecules are approximately 80 nucleotides in length. Their secondary structure includes four short double-helical elements and three loops (D, anti-codon, and T loops). Further hydrogen bonds mediate the characteristic L-shaped molecular structure. tRNAs have two regions of fundamental functional importance: the anti-codon, which is responsible for specific mRNA codon recognition, and the 3' end, to which the tRNAs corresponding amino acid is attached (by aminoacyl-tRNA synthetases). tRNAs cope with the degeneracy of the genetic code in two manners: having more than one tRNA (with a specific anti-codon) for a particular amino acid; and 'wobble' base-pairing, i.e. permitting non-standard base-pairing at the 3rd anti-codon position. Lineage: Bacteria; Pseudomonadati; Pseudomonadota; Alphaproteobacteria; Caulobacterales; Caulobacteraceae. The record is from Rfam by way of RNAcentral.